RNAcentral lists this unclassified non-coding RNA (345 nucleotides) under soil metagenome. RNAcentral's name for it is "partial contains 5.8S ribosomal RNA, internal transcribed spacer 2, and large subunit ribosomal RNA". The stretch from base 1 to 120 matches the Rfam family "5.8S ribosomal RNA", at positions 35 to 154 of the family's 154-position model. The record is from RNAcentral.
GAUGAAGAACGCAGCGAAAUGCGAUAAGUAAUGUGAAUUGCAGAAUUCAGUGAAUCAUCGAAUCUUUGAACGCACAUUGCGCUCCCUGGUAUUCCGGGGAGCAUGCCUGUUCGAGCGUCAUUGCUGCCCUCAAGCACGGCUUGUGUGUUGGGCCUCCGUCCUCCUCCCGGGGGACGGGCCCGAAAGGCAGCGGCGGCACCGCGUCCGGUCCUCGAGCGUAUGGGGCUUCGUCACCCGCUCUUGUAGGCCCGGCCGGCGCUUGCCGACACAUCAAUCUUUUUUCCAGGUUGACCUCGGAUCAGGUAGGGAUACCCGCUGAACUUAAGCAUAUCAAUAAGCGGAGGA